UGAAGCGCCCUGAUGCCUUCACGUACCACACGACCGUUAAAACCAAGGGGACCAGAGCGUCGGAAAGUAGAGCACGAAGCAGCCCGACUGUUAUUUAUGAAUUCAUAUAUAUAUUUGUAUAAUGAAAAGAAUGUGACGGCCACACAUCCAUCUGAAAGAGUGGUAACCUCUCGCACCAACACUUUGUUUUAUUUUGCUUAGGCAGUUAUUUUGACUUCAAUUGAUUCAUAUAGUUUCUUGGACACAUCAUACACAUUCUUUUUGUUUCAAACAAUAAGUUAAGUACAAAUAAUUUACAGGACACAAGGGUUUUGUUUCACAUACUCAUACUUUAUUCAUUUAGUUUGACAGUGCCAAUGCCAAUGUAUCUUUUUGAAGCGCGCACAUUAAGUUACUUUGUGCAGCCUGUUCCUUCCUAAACUUUUCUUUCUUUGAGCUCACCAGUGUCCUGGGAUGUUUCCUCGUUGUCUGUUUGGCAAAACGUGACACCUGGAGCCACGUCAUGGGGGAGCUUCAUUCUUUGUUGAAUAUGUUUGUUUUUUAUACAUGCUAUGAAGUGUUUUUGUUGUGAUUCAUUUUUACAUAAGUGAACAUCCUUUUUUUGAGUAAGGAUUUUGUUUUGAUUGUUGUUUGUAGUUUAAUAAGUAAUGUUUGGUUGUGAAGUUUCCCGUGUGUCACAACCUGGUCUUAUCCGCUGGUGUAUACAUAUAUAUAUUUACAUACAUGUCCCCUUUCCAUCUUUAGCAGGUCAGUUGUAUGUGGUGUUAGUAGCUUAAGUUAAGUUCUGUUUAGUUAACCUCUUUUAUGUGCCCAGAACUUUUUCUCUUUUUGUAAAAUGUUUAAUUUCAUUAUUUUUGGUUAAAUAAAACCCAUUCCUUUUAAACGUA
Molecule: long non-coding RNA, 887 nt
Organism: Scophthalmus maximus (turbot)
Lineage: Eukaryota; Metazoa; Chordata; Actinopteri; Pleuronectiformes; Scophthalmidae
Exons: 2
Source: RefSeq, a predicted model, not a curated record